GGCAGCAUAGCCAAGUGAUAAGGCAGGGGUCUGCAACACCUUUAUCCCCGGUUCACAUCCGGGUAUUGCCU
This 71-nucleotide transfer RNA is filed under the name Peribacillus asahii. RNAcentral's name for it is "tRNA-Cys". It matches the Rfam family "tRNA". Rfam says of the family: Transfer RNA (tRNA) molecules are approximately 80 nucleotides in length. Their secondary structure includes four short double-helical elements and three loops (D, anti-codon, and T loops). The record is from RNAcentral. Lineage: Bacteria; Bacillati; Bacillota; Bacilli; Caryophanales; Bacillaceae.